Molecule: ribosomal RNA, 497 nt
Filed under: uncultured bacterium
Lineage: Bacteria
Description: partial 16S ribosomal RNA
Rfam family: Bacterial small subunit ribosomal RNA
Source: RNAcentral
GAUGAACGCUGGCGGCGUGCCUAAUACAUGCAAGUCGAGCGAACGGACGAGAAGCUUGCUUCUCUGAUGUUAGCGGCGGACGGGUGAGUAACACGUGGAUAACCUACCUAUAAGACUGGGAUAACUUCGGGAAACCGGAGCUAAUACCGGAUAAUAUUUUGAACCGCAUGGUUCAAAAGUAAAAGACGGUCUUGCUGUCACUUAUAGAUGGAUCCGCGCUGCAUUAGCUAGUUGGUAAGGUAACGGCUUACCAAGGCGACGAUGCAUAGCCGACCUGAGAGGGUGAUCGGCCACACUGGAACUGAGACACGGUCCAGACUCCUACGGGAGGCAGCAGUAGGGAAUCUUCCGCAAUGGGCGAAAGCCUGACGGAGCAACGCCGCGUGAGUGAUGAAGGUCUUCGGAUCGUAAAACUCUGUUAUUAGGGAAGAACAUAUGUGUAAAUAACUGUGCACAUCUUGACGGUACCUAAUCAGAAAGCCACGGCUAACUACGUG